Molecule: long non-coding RNA, 260 nt
Filed under: Lathyrus oleraceus (garden pea)
Lineage: Eukaryota; Viridiplantae; Streptophyta; Magnoliopsida; Fabales; Fabaceae
Description: Pisum sativum (pea) long non-coding RNA (PSAT_LNC035806)
Source: RNAcentral
AUAGAAAAUAGAGAAUCAUAAAAUCAAGAGUAUAAGGAAAACUGAUAGUUUGAUAGAAAUUUCUUCAAUUCCAUGAGAAGUUGUGUAUUAAAUAACCCUAUUUAGAAAGACUUCUCUCUCCAAUAAUCUUCUACAAAACAGUAAGUUACACGUUUUACUAGUGACUCCUCAUCAUAACUGUGUGAAAGAUUGUGUCUUAAAAUGAAGGUAAGGUAUUAAUCUCUAAAAUUUGUCUUCAUCUUCUCCAUAGAAUAACUGUG